AAACCUACCAAGGCAACGAUCCGUAGCUGUUCUGAGAGGAUUAUCAGCCACACUGGGACUGAGAUACUGCCCAGACUCCUACGGGAGGCAGCAGUGGGGAAUAUUGGACAAUGGGGGAAACCCUGAUCCAGUCAUGCCGCGUGUGUGAAGAAGGCCUUUGGGUUGUAAAGCACUUUUAGUGAGGAAGAAAACUUAUAAAAGAAAAAGUUAUAAAUAUGACGGUACUCACAGAAGAAGCACCGGCUAACUCCGUGCCAGCAGCCGCGGUAAAACGGAGGGUGCAAGCGUUAAUCGGAAUUACUGGGCGUAAAGGGCAUGUAGGCGGUUUGUUAAGCAUUAUGUGAAAGCCCUAUGCUUAACAUAGGAACUGGAUAAAGAACUGACAAACUAGAGUGCAGAAGAGGAAGGUAGAAUUCCAGGUGUAGCGGUGAAAUGCGUAGAUAUCUGGAGGAAUACCAGUGGCGAAGGCGACCUUCUGGUCUGAAACUGACGCUGAGAUGCGAAAGCGUGGGGAGCAAACAGGAUUAGAUACCCUGGUAGUCCACGCUGUAAACGAUAUCAACUAGCCGUUUGAUUCUUAAAGAAUUUGGUGGCGAAGCUAACGCGAUAAGUUGAUCGCCUGGGGAGUACGGUCGCAAGGCUAAAACUCAAAUGAAUUGACGGGGGCCCGCACAAGCGGUGGAGCAUGUGGUUUAAUUCGAUGCAACGCGAAGAACCUUACCUACUCUUGACAUCCAAAGUACUUUCCAGAGAUGGAAGGGUGCCUUAGGGAACUUUGAGACAGGUGCUGCAUGGCUGUCGUCAGCUCGUGUUGUGAAAUGUUGGGUUAAGUCCCGUAACGAGCGCAACCCUUAUCCUUAGUUGCCAACGUAUAAAGACGGGAACUUUAAGGAGACUGCUGGUGAUAAACCGGAGGAAGGUAGGGACGACGUCAAGUCAUCAUGGCCCUUAAAGGGUAGGGCGACACACGUGCUACAAUGGCAAUACAAAGCA
RNAcentral lists this ribosomal RNA (993 nucleotides) under Candidatus Portiera aleyrodidarum (primary endosymbiont of Bemisia tabaci). RNAcentral describes it as "bacterial SSU rRNA". It matches the Rfam family "Bacterial small subunit ribosomal RNA", at positions 261 to 1246 of the family's 1533-position model. The record is from RNAcentral. Lineage: Bacteria; Pseudomonadati; Pseudomonadota; Gammaproteobacteria; Johnevansiales (SeqCode); Johnevansiaceae (SeqCode).